This is a regulatory RNA element of Lactobacillus crispatus ST1, 174 nucleotides long. It matches the Rfam family "Lysine riboswitch aptamer". From Rfam's summary of the family: Riboswitches are metabolite binding domains within certain messenger RNAs that serve as precision sensors for their corresponding targets. Allosteric rearrangement of mRNA structure is mediated by ligand binding, and this results in modulation of gene expression. This family includes riboswitches that sense lysine in a number of genes involved in lysine metabolism, including lysC. The record is from Rfam. Lineage: Bacteria; Bacillati; Bacillota; Bacilli; Lactobacillales; Lactobacillaceae.
AUCAAUCGAAGAGGCGCAGCCGACAUAAGUAACAAUUCUGAGUUGGGCAAAACGAAGAUGAAUUGUAAAAGGGGAGGUUGCCGAAGCUGAGUCAUGCUAAAGGCUUGAGCUGGGGCGUAGUUGAAUAAACUGCGGACUGUCGCGAACAAAAUUCGCGGAGCGCUAUCGACCAUA